This 73-nucleotide transfer RNA is filed under the name Pan troglodytes (chimpanzee). RNAcentral describes it as "tRNA-Val (CAC) (tRNA-Val-CAC-4-1)". It matches the Rfam family "tRNA". Rfam says of the family: Transfer RNA (tRNA) molecules are approximately 80 nucleotides in length. Their secondary structure includes four short double-helical elements and three loops (D, anti-codon, and T loops). Further hydrogen bonds mediate the characteristic L-shaped molecular structure. tRNAs have two regions of fundamental functional importance: the anti-codon, which is responsible for specific mRNA codon recognition, and the 3' end, to which the tRNAs corresponding amino acid is attached (by aminoacyl-tRNA synthetases). tRNAs cope with the degeneracy of the genetic code in two manners: having more than one tRNA (with a specific anti-codon) for a particular amino acid; and 'wobble' base-pairing, i.e. permitting non-standard base-pairing at the 3rd anti-codon position. Lineage: Eukaryota; Metazoa; Chordata; Mammalia; Primates; Hominidae. The record is from Rfam by way of RNAcentral.
GUUUCUGUAGUGUAGGGGUUAUCACGUUCGCCUCACACGCGAAAGGUCCCCGGUUCGAAACCGGGCAGAAGCA